This 799-nucleotide ribosomal RNA is filed under the name uncultured Bacteroidota bacterium. Its description in RNAcentral is "bacterial SSU rRNA". It matches the Rfam family "Bacterial small subunit ribosomal RNA", at positions 78 to 878 of the family's 1533-position model. The record is from RNAcentral. Lineage: Bacteria; Pseudomonadati; Bacteroidota.
GCACUCUUUGGACGUCGACCGGCGCACGGGUGAGUAACGCGUAUCCAACCUUCCCAUUACUGUGGGAUAACCUGCCGAAAGGCAGACUAAUACCGCAUAGUCUUCGAUGACGGCAUCAGAUUUGAAGUAAAGAUUUAUCGGUAAUGGAUGGGGAUGCGUCUGAUUAGCUUGUUGGCGGGGUAACGGCCCACCAAGGCUACGAUCAGUAGGGGUUCUGAGAGGAAGGUCCCCCACAUUGGAACUGAGACACGGUCCAAACUCCUACGGGAGGCAGCAGUGAGGAAUAUUGGUCAAUGGACGGAAGUCUGAACCAGCCAAGUAGCGUGCAGGAUGACGGCCCUAUGGGUUGUAAACUGCUUUUGUAUGGGGAUAAAGUUAGGGACGUGUCCCUAUUUGCAGGUACCAUACGAAUAAGGACCGGCUAAUUCCGUGCCAGCAGCCGCGGUAAUACGGAAGGUCCAGGCGUUAUCCGGAUUCAUUGGGUUUAAGGGGAGCGUAGGCUGGAGAUUAAGUGUGUUGUGAAAUGUAGACGCUCAACGUCUGAAUUGCAGCGCAUACUGAUUUCCUUGAGUACGCACAACGUUGGCGGAAUUCGUCGUGUAGCGGUGAAAUGCUUAGAUAUGACGAAGAACUCCAAUUGCGAAGGCAGCUGACGGGAGCGCAACUGACGCUUAAGCUCGAAGGUGCGGGUAUCAAACAGGAUUAGAUANCCUGGUAGUCCGCACAGUAAACGAUGGAUGCCCGCUGUUGGUACCUGGUAUCAGCGGCUAAGCGAAAGCAUUAAGCAUCCCACUGGGGA